AAGUCGCCAACAGCUCCAGCAAGCAUCAUGUGCUCUGUUUUACCAUCAGAAAUGAUGCCGAAGGCAUGCCACUCGGACAAAGGGAAUGGACUAAUCCUUCCCAAUAUACCCGCUUUCACUCCUCCCUCGAACUUGAUAACGGAAGCAUGGCCUGAAGGCGCACUGACUUUGACUGGUACUCGUCUCACUGUCACCCAUGGAAUAAUUAUAAGUGCGGUGAUGGCUAAUGUAGACCAGAACUCCUGUCGUUUCAUCAGCCUAGAGCCGAGUUGAUUGCUGUAGGACUUUGACUUCGGAUCGUAAGAGAUUGUGAGGAGGACAAAGGCCCAGAGGAGGGCUAGAGCUGUCCAUCCAGCAAAACGAUGAGUCCUUUCGAAUACAUUGUGAUGGAGAUGGCGGACAAGAGGGAAGGCUGCCAAAGAAGAGAGGCAGAGAAGAGCAAGAAUGGUGGAGGCCACGCCUAUGAUCUCGGGGGAAGUGUUUUCUCUGUCCUGAAGUGUGAGUACCAGGGCAUAUACGAGCCAUGCUACGGAAGAGACCCCGCAGCCGCUAUGUAUCCCACCAAGAGAUUGGAGGAGGGAUGUGGUAGCAGUCUUGAGUCCGAGAGGCACCCACGACUGUCCCAAGACCUUCACCGCAAGCCAGAAGACGACUCGCAAGAAGGCCUCGCUGCGACACAGUGUCAAAGCAAGAAUGUUCCCAAUGGAGAAGAGAGCAGCUUUACGCCUUGCAUAUGGGAAAUGCCCGGUGGCUGAAAGAACCAAACCAAUAAUGUUCAGGAUCAGGCAAACCAUGAACAGCUGUUUGUAGACUGUGAACAGCCCUUGAUCCAGCAAUAUAAUCGAAAGUCUCGACUCUUGCUGUCUCGCAACUUUUGCUGGUUGUUCACGUUUACUAGUGAAUGAAACUGGAACUAACUUCUGCUCCUUCUCCUCAUGAAUAUUGCCUUCUUCCACGUCCUUCAAAUCAUCCUCAAAAUCAUUUUCAUCUAUAUCAAGAUCACAGAAAUGGCUGCUCCUUCUGCUCAUACUCCUUCCCAAGGAAUCCGACGAGCGUACUCUAAAAGGGCUAUCCUGAUUCCAAGGAAGCCAAAACCUGUUGCUGCCAGAGCGACCAUCUACCACCACAGAAGUUGGGACGGCGAAUGAGUCUGAAUGAGGUUUAAUCUCAAAAGCCACGCCUCUGUAGCUUGAAAUCCUCGCAACCUUUUCUGGGCUUUUCAUAGUUGUCUUCUUAGGAGCAAACAACUAUGUCACAAAGUAAAGCGAGGGAAAGAGAGAUUCAGCGAGAAGGCUUGUGCCCAUGGCAAGUGUGGCUUGGCUUUAUAAGCCUCCACAAAAAGAAUUGUUGACUUAAUCUCAAUAGCAAUGUGAUUCACUUCAUAUUAGAGAGAAAAAAAAAAUGCGAUUGGUUAUUUGUAGCAAGUGAAAGAAUAUAAAAGGACAAAGAAUAUAAAGGAACACGUAAUGACAGAUAGGACACAUAAUGGCAUGAGGGAGGUGCACAGAAUCACACACAUGAUGAAUAGCCCAUCCGAUAAAUAUUUUCAUAAAUGAAAAGUAACUAAGGGAAAGUAUAAAUGAGAAUAUAGGACACAAUGACAGAAAAAGAUGCUCGUAAUCAGGUCUAUAAUGAUAAGAACCUAUCCAAUUAAUACUUCCAUAAAUAAAAGGUAAUAAAAUAUUUUAAGAAAAAAAUUAAAUAAAUAAAAGAGGGACAUAAAAUGAUAGGUCAUCGAAUAACAAAACACAGAAUUGUAGGACAUCGAAUGAGAGGAUAUAAGACAUAGAAUGGUGUAUAUAGAUUCUAAAAAUGAUAUGCACAAAACCACAUACAUAAUUAUAAGAAUCAACUCCAAUCAAUAUUUCCAUAAAUUAAGAAUAAUUAGAUAUUAAUGAUAUUUAAUUCUCUUAAUUUAAAAAAUAAUAUUUAUUUUCCUUAAUUUUAAAAUAUUUAUUAUUCUUUUAUAUAUAUAUAUAUAUAUAUAUAUAUAUAUAUAUAUAUAAUUCACAAUACAUUCUUGUAUAAUUUUUUUAAAGUAAUAAUAAAUGCAUAUAACUUUAAUUACCAAAUUAUCAAACUCUUCAUGGUAUUAGAGUUUGGGGAGGAGGUUCGAAUUCAUGCCUUCUCCAAAAGUGGGGUCGACAAUCAUAAAAAGUUCAACCUGCUCUUACAAAUUAUGUCUUCCUAAAAAAUAAUAAUAAUCAUCCUUUUUGUUAUAGUUUUCCUUCAAUGUUCUUUCUACUUUGAUUUCAAUCCGGCUAAACACCACAAAUCUUCUAUUAUUGCGAAACCAAAUCAUCCUCUUAGUUUGUAGUGUUGAUGUUCUCCAACAUCUCUUAGGUGGAAAAAAAACUUACCGAAGAAAUUCAUGAUGAUGAGAGAAUAAAAAAUCCUAUCUUGUAAUACCAAUUAUGGAUCAACAAUUGAUGAAUUAAUUUGUCAUUUCAUUAGUUAUUGGAACUAUAAAAUAAAAAAAUAAAAAAAAUCAUUUUUAAUAUGAUCUUUGGUAUUAACACGAUUAUGAGGUAUGAACUUCUCUUUAAAAACACUCUCCAGUGUAUUUUAAAAAUAAAAUUUGAAAAGUAUGCUGAUGACUCCCAAAAAUAAAAUAAAAAAUAAAAAACUCAAUCAUGAUCUUUUGAAGAAUAUUUAAGAGACUUCAAAAUAUAUGUAAUAAUCUCGUAACAAUGAAAAAUCAAUUUUAGACCAAGACAAAAUUGUCAAUUCGCUUAUGACUAUGGAUAAAAGUAAGAUUUUUUUUCCCCUUUAGAAUACUCUUUUAGCCAAUUCAUAGUAGUUCUUCAGUGGCAUAAACAAUCACUUACUACCUAAACGGAGAAAAGAAAAUGUUCUUAGAGCAUGUACAAGUUUUUGUUUAGACAAUACAAUCAUGGUCAGGAUGGUUAAGAAAGUAGAAAUUUCAAUUUGAGGAGCUAGACAAGGUUUCACUCUUCUUAUGUAUCGCAAUUCUAAAGUAAUAAUAAUAAUUUGAUAUUUUUAUCAAGUAUCUAUCAAAAGAUGUCUUUAUCAUAUUUUUGAGACAACCUAUGUAACGCCCGAGUUUUUUUUAGGGGUAAUUUAGGAAAAUAUUAAUAAUAAUUUAAUUAAUUAAUUAAUUAAUUAAUUAAUUAAUUAAUUAAUUAAUUAAAAUGAAAGAGGGGUAAAAAUGUAAUUUUUCAAAUAAAUACCCUAGGUAUAAAUUAGAAAUUCUAUUCUUCCUAUUCUUUUUUAAUAACAUUUCUGUUCACAAAAAUUCUAGAGAACUUAAAGUUGGAGUCAGAUUUCAGGGUUUGAAUAACAGAUCUCUAUAGGUAAGAUUCUAACCCCUAAAUUAAUAUCUUGGAUUCAUUAAUUAAUUUCAAACACAUUAGAUAUUUUUUGGAAAAUCCAAAUUUAGAUUAGGGUUAAUUUUUUUUUUCUUUAAUUCGUUUUAAUAUCAAAAUAUUGAAAAUUUAAGAUUUUGAUUUAUUGUUGGAAAUUGGGAAAUCUUAAGUUUUUAGAUGAAAAAAAAAAAGAUUAUUUGAAAUAUUUCGAUUUUAGGCUAGGGUUAAUUUAUUUAAAAAAAUUAUAGGUCAAAAUAUUGAAAUUAGGAAUAUAGGUUGUUCUAUUGAUAAAAAUAGGAAAAUUCAAAAUUUAUUAGAUGAAUAUAUUUAAGUAAUGAAAUUAGAAAAAAAAAAUGAAAAGUAAUGCGUGUGCACUGGAGGAAGUAUUUAAAAAAAAAAAAAAAAAAAAAAAAAAAUGAAAAGGAACACAUGUGCACUGGAGGAAGUUUUUUUAAAAAAAAGAAAAAAAAAAUGAAAAGGAACACGUGUGCACUAGAAGAUAGAAGAAUGGUGAGAAAAAAUAAAAAGUUGUGUGGGAAUUGGAAGAUAGAGGAAUAAGGAAAAUAAUAACAUUAAUAAUAAUAAAAGACAUGCAUGUGGAUGUGAGUGGGUGGAUGAAAAUAAUAAUAUUAAUAAUAAUAAGAGGCAUGUUCGUGGAGUAUGUGAGUGGGUGGAUGAUAUGUACAUAUUUAUAUAUAUUACAAUGAUAAUUGUGUGAGUGUUAUGGUAGUUGUGUUUGAAAAAUAUGAAAGUGGUAGAAUAAACUAUAUAUAAAUAAAUAAGGUGAAGUAUAAAUUAGUUAAAUUUAUUGUAUUAUAAUUAGAUUAAUGAUAAAUAUUAAGUUAAUAAGUAGCAUAAAACACCUAUGGAAAUGUGAUUAGACAGUCCUUGUGAUUACAGUAACUUAAGGACUUUUGGAUGCAUUGCCCGUGCUCACCAAAAUGAGGUAAACUAAAGCCUUGAGUUAGGAAGAGUAUAUUUUUUUGGUUAUUCAAACGGAGUGAAAGGGUAUAAGCUUUGGUGUCCUACCACUAAGAAAUUCUUUAUAAGCAAGGAUAUGGUCUUUAGAGAGUACGAAUUUCUAAAGGAUGACAGAGAAGUUUCCAUUAGUGAAGAAAAUGAAGAAGUCAAGGAUAAGGUAGAGUUUCAUGUGGAAUUAGAAGAUAAUUGGAGGUGUGCACAAUCACAUUGAGAUUGAAUAAUUGGAGGAUUUCCUUGGAUGCAUGGUGGGAUGGAUACAUUGAAAGGUAGGCGUGAACGUUUUGGGAAGAGUCCUCAUUAAGGGAAGUGAGAUCAUGGCUUCAAAUAGGAAUCUGGACUGCAUAUAGAUAGAGGAGAUCACGGCUGAAUGGAGGGUGGGAAAAGGAGAUUUAUAUUGUUAAAAAUAAAAAGAAAGGAAUGGCCACUUUGUGCACAGCUGUAAGAGGGAUUUCUUUAUUUUUUUAAGAAGGAAAAGUCAACAUGCUUGAUCACUUACCAAAUAGAACACGGAUGCAUCUUAGAGAAGUCUCCAAAGUGAGCCACAUGCAUACACUUUCUAUAUCCAUUAAGAAAAAGGAAACAAGAUAUUCCAUAAAAAAAAAGUGGGCAGUCAUAUAAAAGAGGAGAACAGAGCAACGGGCAAGGGGGGGUUUUUUUUUUUUAUCAUUAUUUUUGGAGAGAACACGCAAGGAAGGAAGAAACAGAUUUUUUUGAAGGAGGAAUUUUUUGGCAAGGAGAACACGGAAUAGGGAUUUUUUUUUAGAGAAUACGCAAGAGAGAAUUUUCCAAGCAAAAGAGGACACGUAAUAUUCUUUUUUAAAAGAGAGAGGAACAGAGAAUUUUCUAAGAUGAGCCACUUUAACGCAUCAAAAACGGAUUUUUCUUUAUAACACAGGUUAGUUUUUGAAAGAGUUUUCAUUUUUUUUAUUAGAUAUCUUUUUUUUUUCUUUUUUUAAUUCUAAUUUAAUUUAGUAUUAAUUUAUUUGUUAGUUUAGCUUGAAUGAGUUUGUGUGUUUAAUUUUGAUUCAUUAUAUUAGAAAAAAGAAUGAUUUGAUCCCUAUUUAAUUUUGAUUGAUUGCAUCAGAUUGAAAACAUUUGAGUUUUAUUUAUUCAUUUAUUCAUGCAUUUGCUACUCUUUUAAUUGUUUGUAUUUCAUUUAUUUAUUUAUUGAUAAAGUUGAUCUCAUAUUUGAAAGUUCAUGUUUUUAGUAUUCUUUGAUUUAAUGUGAUUCAUUUUAAUUAGUUUAGAUACUUUUAUAAUUUUAGUUCAUUAAUAAAAUUGAUUCUAUAUUUAAAAGUUCAUAUCUUUAGUUUAUUUUUUAUUUAGUUUAAUUCAUCUAUUUAGUUCAAAUACAUUUAUAGUUUUAGUUCAUUGAUAAAAUUGAUUCUAUGUUUGAAAGUUUUCGUUUUUAGGUUGCUUUAAUUUAAUUUGAUUCAUUAUAGUUAAUUUAGAUUUUUAUUUGUAGUUUAGUUCAUUAAUAAAAUUGAUCCCAUGUUUGAAAGUUUCAGUUUUUUUUAGUUUGCUUUGAUUUAAUAAUUUAUAUUCAGUAUUUUAGGUGUUUUUAUAGUUUUAGUUUAUUAAUAAAAUUGAUUUCAUAUUUGGAAGUUCAUAUUUUUAGUAUUCUUUGAUUUAAUUUGGUUCUUUUUAAUUAGUUUAUGUGUUUUUAUAGUUUUAUUUAUUUAUUGAUAAAAUUGAUUCUUUAUUUAAAAGUUCAUGUUUUUAGUAUACUUUGAAGGUGGAAGCUUUGCCUGAAGGAGUUGCCCAGAUGGAGAGGGGUGCCUUGGGCUGUGAAGGAGCUUGUGUUGGUGACGGGCUUGGUGCUGCCCAUGAUGGCUUUGGGCUUGGGUUUGAAUUUGGAGCCCAGGCCCAAACCUAUGCUGAAGAUGGAGCCCAAGGCUCUAUUUAAUAAAUGGAUGUGGGCUUAGGCUUAUGGGCUUAGGCUUAUGGAUUUAGGCUUAUAGACUGGGCUUGAUGAAGAUGGGGCUUAUUAGUGGGUUUAGGCUUAUGGACUUGGGCUUGAUGGAUGGAUAUUAUUAUUAUUAUUAUUAUUAUUGUUAUUAUUAUUGUUAUCAUUGUUACAAUUAUUAUUAUUGUUAUUAUCAUUAUUAUUAUUAUUAUUAUCAUUAAUUCAAACUCUCAAAAUCUUAUUAUUAUUAUCAUUAAUUCAACUUUUAAAACCUUAUUAUUAUUAUUAUUAUUAUUAUUAUUAUUAUUAAUUCAACUCUCAAAAUCUUAUUAUUAUUAUUAUUAUCAAUUCAAACUUUCAAAAUCUUAUUAUUAUUAUUAUUAUCAUUAAUUCAAACUCUCAAAAUCUUAUUAUUAUUAUUAUUAUUAUUAUUAUAAUUAAUUCACACUUUCAAAAUCUUAUUAUAAUUAUUAUUAUCAUUAAUUCCAACUUUCGAAAUCUUAUUAUUAUUAUUAUUAUUAUUAUUAUUAUUAUUAUUAAUUCAAACUUUUAAAACCUUAUUACUAUCAUUAUUACAAAUUCAACUUUCAAAAGUCUAUGGUCUCGCAGUUCAAUUUCCUAAUGUCCGUUUCUCAUUUUCUUUAACAAAUUUCAAUUUAAUUACCAGAGCUCUAAUCUUUUAAAUUUAAUUCCAAAUAAACUCCAAUAAUCCAAUUUUCACUCGAAUAGUUUUAAUCCCAUUUCAGUUCCUAAAUAAUUUUCUAAUCUUCUUGAUUUUACCUAAGCAAUAGUGAUUCCUUCAUAAUUCUAAAAUACUGGAUUUGUGAUAUUAGCUCAUGAACAAUAAAUUGGGCUUUGUUGGGGGCCCUAUGUUUGAUCUCUAUUGAUUGUCAACUGUUGUGCUUAAUAUAUUUUUCUUAAUCUUCAUUUUGCACUCCGAUAUGCAUGAGCUAUAAUUUGUAUUCGUUAAUUGUGUACUAAUCUCAUUUCUUGAUAGCGCAUUGUGGCUCGUGGCCUAGGUACGCAUACACUCUUAUUCUGAUACUUCACUAUACAUGUUCCGAUUCUCAUAUGUGCAUGAUCAUUCAAGAUAUUCAUUGAUUUACUCAUCAACUGCCACAUCAGCUUCACUUUAUCAGUAGAGACCCGACUUUAGGGACUUAGAGGGGUGCUAUGGUCUUCACCGUACCUUCACGAUAAGUAACCUGACCCUCGAGCCUGAUCCGAUUUUUCGUAGAUCACCUUUUCCAAAACCAAGAGUCGCACUUAGGGUUUUUCUUUCUUAUUUUGUUUACCCUUUUAAAAAUAAAACAAAAAUAAGUGGCGACUCCAAGUCAUUUUUAAUCAACAAAUCAAUUUUUCAAAUAAAAAUCGAGCUCGCCAUUCCAGUGGGAAAUGCAUAAGCCGAAAUGCUGGGUCCACACCCCUACAUAAGAAAAUCUUUUCAAAUUUUAUUUUUGUUGCCACAUUUGACACUUGUUGAAAUCAUGUCUAUCUAUUUUUUUAGGAAUUAUAUACAAGAUGUAUGUGAUAAUUGAUGAUUCUGUAUACUUUGAUCACUUUUGCUAUGCUAAUUAGAUAACGAGCAUGCUAGGAUUUCUAUAUUUUAUUAUUUGUUAUCUAACCUCUCAUGUUUUAUGAAAGCACAUUACAAGUUAUCUAUGAUAUCCAGAUACGUUCCCUAAUACCCACUUUCUAAACCCUAGGAAUAUGAUUGUCAUUGCGUAUUAUGCCCAUGCUUGCUAUUCUGUUUGAUUGCCUUGAUAUAUAUUUGAUGCUUGUUUGAUUAUCUUUGACAAAUACACAUGUUGUGUGAUGUAUCUCUAUACUAACUCUUAUGUUUUAUGAUAGCGUUUGAGAAGCAGUCCAGGUAUGCACCCUAACUCUCCUUUAUUGUAAUUUGAUCCUAUUUGGCAUGUUAUUUUUUGAAAUCACCUUAAUCUAUCUAGGUAUCCCCAAUUAAUCAAUUAAUUGUCACAUCUCCCCCAAUUUAGUCAGUAGAGACUUUUAUAGGGCUUAGAGGGGUGCUACCUUUUAAAGGUACCUUCCUAAUAAGUAACCUGAUCCCCGGACUUAGACUCGGGUUUUUCAAAGACACGUUUUUCCAAAAAUUAUGGAGUCAUUUUUAGGGUUUUAUUUCUUGUUUUAUUUUCCCUUUAAAAUAAAAAUAAAAUAAGUGAUGACUCCAACUUUUUUUUCAAAAAUUAAUUUUUCACAAAUAAAUAAUAAAAAGAGAGUCUCGUCGAUCGAGUGGGGACGCACGUGAAAAAUGUGGGUCCAUAGCAAGUGGGUGUUUAAAAAGAAAAUGAGGAUCCUUCAUGUAGAAUCUAAAAGAUUCAAGGCAAGAUAGUUGCCAAAGGUUAUACACAAAGAGGAGUAGAUUUCAAUGAAAAUUUCUCACCUAUGAUAAAGCACAUUUCCAUUUGGGUAUUAGUUGCUUUGGUGUCAUUUUGGAAUCUUAAACUUGAGUAAAUGGAUGUUAAGAUGACAUUCUUUCGUGGAGAAUUAGUAAAUGAAAUUUUCAUGUAACAACUAAAGGGUUUUUCAGUUAAGAGAAAAGAAAACUAGGUUUAUUUGCUCAAGAGAUCGUUGUAUGGGCUAAAAUAGUCCCUAGGCAAUGGUAUAAAUGCUUUGACAAGUUCAUGACUAGUGUUGGAUACUCAAGGAGUAAGUUUGACAACUAUGUAUAGAUGAGAAGGCUGACAAAUGGGAGUUAUGUCUAUUUGUUAUUUUAUGCAGAUGAUAUACUAUUGGCAAGCAAGAACAUAACAAAGGUAACUCAUUUGAAGACAUAACUACAAUUUGAAUUUGAGAUGAAGGAUCUUAGAUGUGCUAAAAAGAUUUUGGGGAUGGAGCUGUACAAGAAUAGAUCUGUUGGUAUUCUGACAAUCUCCCAAAGAGAUUAUAUGAAGAAAGUGUUGAAAAGAUUUAACAUGGAUGCUGCAAAGGUGGUCGAUACACAAAUUCAAGCCCAUUCAAACUUUCUUCUAAUUUGUCACCAAAAACAGAAGAAGAAAUGCAAGAUAUGGCUAAUUUAUCAUAUGCUAAUGGCAUAGGAAGUAUUAUGUAUGUCAUGGUCUGCAUGAAACCUAACAUAGCCUAUGGUAUGAGUUUGUUUAGCCAUUAUAUGAGUAAUCUUGGAAAGGAUCAUUGGGAAACCCUAGAAUGGAUUUUGAGGUAUCUCAAGGGUACUGCAAAUUUUGGGUUCAUAUACCAAGGAGAGCAUAUAUCUCAACUGGUUUGGUUGAAGGUUAUGUGAAUUUAGAUUAUGCCAAGAACUUGGAUAGGAAAAGAUCAAUAACAAGUUAUUUGUUUACAGUGUGUGGCUGUACAGUAAGUUGGAAAUCUACAUCACAAAAUAUUGUGACUCUUUCUACCAUCAAAGCUGAGUAUGUAGCUAUUGUAGAAGCCACUAAAGAAGCUUUGUAGUUAAAAGGUCUAGUAUCUAAAUUAGGAAUGAAUCAGAAAAGUGCAACAGUUUUCUGUGAUAGCCAAAAUGCUAUUUGUUUGACAAAGAACCAAGGUUUCUAUGGGAGGACUAAACACAUAGAUGUGAGAUUGCACUUCUUAAGGAUAUAAUGGAACAAGUACUGAUGAAUGUCAGGAAAAUUUCAACUAUGGAUAAUCCAACGGAUAUGCUUAUAAAACCAAUUCCAAAGGUCAAGUUUAAGCAAUGCUUAAACUUGAUCAAUGUUGGAUUUCUAUGAUUGUAACAACAAGAGGUAAAGGGAAAUCAAUCCGAGCUGAACUUGGUUUUCUUAUUUUGGUGCUAAGGUGGAGAUUUUUGUGAUGUGAUACAAAAUAUAUAAGCCAAGCACGUGAGUUAGUCUAUUUGUGUGGCAACCCUCUCAGAAUAAUAUAUACACAUGACAGUUUAUUUCUUUUACCUUCCAGCUGGAAGGUUGUUAUGUGAGUUUUUAAUCGGUAUGAUGACGGUGUAUGCAAGCACACUUCUAAGCCGAAAAGGAGUUGUAAAAGGGUUGUGUGUGUGCUGAAAGGGCUGUGUGUUGUAAUUUUCUCAGUUUUUCUCUCAGAUGGAUUGGUUCUUCUAUUGCUCCCCUGGAUGUAAGCUUGAACAAGCUGAACCACGUUAAAUCUUGUGAUGAUGCUCUUCAUCCUUUGUUUUUCUUCUCAUUAGAUCAUUGAUUGUUUGUUUCUUGAGAAGCAUUAUUUUUCUUGCUGUUUUAAUGGAAAUGGUUAUUGUACGUGAUACUGCUGUAUGUGGCCGUCCUAAUGUGGCAAAGAUGAGUGUGGAAACAGCCCAGAGUUGGAAAGCAGAGGUAGUCGUCGUCACCAGUAAUCCUCAUGGAAGCAGAGACGUUAUUGGUGCCUGGAGGGCCGCUGGACUUACAGCCUUUGGACCUAUAUGGGAUUCCUAGAAUUUUGUUGCAGAACCUAAUCUAUAUUGAAUCUGGUUCUUCCGUAUGUUAUGUGUGUAUCUCUGCUGACAUUCUACACGUAGCAUGCAUCAACUUGUACGGCAUUCGCAAUAGGCAAUAAGAAUAACUCUAGUAAAUAGUAUCGCCGAAAGGAUCAUCUACGAUUAUAGAUUGGCCUCCAAAUGGAUGCCCCUUUCACACGAAUAAAAUAGUUCUUUAUGUUCCUUUCGGUGGUUGAAGCUAUGGAAGGAAAUUGCUCAAUUCUAAAAUACAGAGAGUCAGAAUUGACGUCAACCUCACUACGGCAGUCGUUAGAUUGGAGAAAUGUUAGUUUAACUCUUUGUCAGUAGCCUUUGGAUUUUGUUCAGAUAUACAGCUGAAUUUUAUGCUACCUUUCUAUCUUAUGAGACAGCGUCUUCUUGGUAUUGCCCUUCCAAUAAUGGUUCCUAGCAUUCUUCCAUCUCCAUUAGGUCGAGAAAUUAGAGAUGUACGUACCUCCGAGAAUACUCAAAAUCUAAUUACAUUAUUAAAUAACAAAGUCACAUUCAUCACGACAUAGUUUUCGAACAUGUACACUUGGUCUGGUAGUGUAUUAGACUUGGUGUCUUUCUUCUGUAUGUCUUGAACACUGGACACACAUUCUUGACCAUAUCUUAUAACUUUAGGAGUAGGUUGAAAGCCAAAGAAAAUCAAGUAUUAAUUUAUGGUUAUGAAGUUAGGAGUCCCAAAUAGGACCAAAGGCAGGAAUUCCUGCAUCCUUACAAGCAUUGACUACGUCCCUGCUCCCUUGAGGAUUGCUGGUAACAAUCACUACUUGAGCACCCCAAUUCUUAGCAGUAUCUACGCUCAACUGAGCAAUAUCGGGUCGACCAGACACAGCUGUGUCAUGGACAAUGACCUUAUCUUUGGGAUACCUAUUCACUAUCUCUUUAAUUUCCCUUCCAAAGUUGUGCUCAAUCCCCUUAGCCACCCAAACUAAACACACGUCAGCUGAACAUGGCUGCAAGAGGAAUGAGAGAAAUACACAAAUGCCCGAACCUGUAGCCACCAUCAUGACCUUGUCAUACAUGUUGAUGAGAUAGGGCAGCCCAGCAAAGUGCACCUGCCGAACCCACAAGUGGCUUGGCGGGUCUGAAACCAGUGACUUUGUGAAGUCGCCAACAGCUCCAGCAAGCAUCAUGUGCUCUGUUUUACCAUCAGAAAUGAUGCCGAAGGCAUGCCACUCGGAUAAAGGGGAUCGACUAAUCCUUCCCAAUAUACCCGCUUUCACUCCUCCCUCGAACUUUAUAAUGGAGGCAUGGCCUGAAGGCGCACUGACUUUGACUGGUACUCGUCUCACUGUCACCCAUGGAAUAAUUAUGAGUGCGGUGAUGGCUAAUGUAGACCAGAACUCCUGUUGUUUCAUCAGCCUAGAGCCGAGUUGAUUGCUGUAGGACUUUGACU
RNAcentral lists this long non-coding RNA (12035 nucleotides) under Vitis vinifera (wine grape). Its description in RNAcentral is "long non-coding RNA (VVIN_LNC003118)". Lineage: Eukaryota; Viridiplantae; Streptophyta; Magnoliopsida; Vitales; Vitaceae. The record is from RNAcentral.